Molecule: long non-coding RNA, 1185 nt
Organism: Neoarius graeffei (lesser salmon catfish)
Lineage: Eukaryota; Metazoa; Chordata; Actinopteri; Siluriformes; Ariidae
Exons: 3
Source: RefSeq, a predicted model, not a curated record
AUUCCGAGGCUUUGCGUCCGUUUUAUGCGGCGCAAACUAUUUGCGAAUCUUUGUUUUAGCCGAAAUGUAAAGUUGAAGCUCUGGACAGAUCUCUCAGAAGGACAGAAGGACUUUGGAGAAAAGCUGGGACUCGGAUCUGCACUUGCUUUGAGAAAGUUUGCAAUAUGAAGGUGGCUAAUGGACAUCAACACCACAGGCGUGCAUCUACUGUGAGCCACAACACUGUUUCCAGGGAACGAGGGAAUGAUGAGACAAAGCAAUAGCGGGAAAGACAGACACAGGCCGAGACAGAGAGAGAGAGAAGAAGAAGAAGAAGAAGAAGGGGAACGAGAAGACACCCACGCACUUCUGUGGUGCAGGUCCAAUGAUCUCUCGCCACGUCUCAGACUUGACCCUGAUCCAGAGAUUGAAGGAAGUGCAAGUAUGUGAAGUACCAGCUCCAGGUUACAGCAUCAGGUCAUGCUUCAGACCAUUGACCCUUGAUCCCUGCGUCUGUUUAUAUCUUGUGAUUGAUUGAAUACAUAGUGAUGAGUCAUAUCCCCAAGUGUGUUUAUAUUACAGAGUCACGCAAGGAAGGAAAAGAGCUACGACCUGCUAAAAGCCAGUGGGAGACAGAAAGAGAGUGAGGUGCUAAAUUAAAAUUCAAUAUAUUUUUGCAUUCAAAGGAAAUAUGUCACCGAAUAUCUUCGGAUAUAUUUAUUCCUCCAAAUAAACGUCCUUCUCGUAUAUUUUCCUCUGUCUUCUUUUUGUUCAUGAAUUGUUCCUAUGUUCAUUUAAAAUGACAACAACAACAACAACAACAACAACAACAACAACAACAAAUCCAUCUCCUCGACACCAGAUGCAAGAAACCCAAAGUUCUCAAGCCCUUCAAAUUUAGCUCCUAAAUAUUACGCAGGACGUCAGUGCUAAACCUAAACCUAAACCGAGUAAGCCACAGCGGCCUGCGCCUGUGAUUAAAACGCAAUGUCCUGCCUGCGCUGGACGGUUAUUACUGCACAAGUGUUGAAUGAGAGCCUUAGUUAGCUUUACUAAAUAAACGUGUGCAGAUGUUCGACAGUUUACUUCAUGUUUGUUCCAUCUCCGUUUGAAGAUUAAGCGCAGGAGCUCAUUAGCGAACUGUGAACACAGCCUGACACCCUUCUCUGUAACUAACGUUCUGACACAAUGAAAGAGGCAGCAGCU